CCAACCUGGUUGAUCCUGCCAGUAGUCAUAUGCUUGUCUCAAAGAUUAAGCCAUGCAUGUCUAAGUAUAAACAAAUUUGUACUGUGAAACUGCGAAUGGCUCAUUAAAUCAGUUAUAGUUUAUUUGAUGGUAUCUUACUACAUGGAUAACUGUGGUAAUUCUAGAGCUAAUACAUGCAUCAAAGCCCCGACUCU
This 194-nucleotide ribosomal RNA is filed under the name uncultured eukaryote. RNAcentral describes it as "partial 18S ribosomal RNA". It matches the Rfam family "Eukaryotic small subunit ribosomal RNA", at positions 1 to 190 of the family's 1831-position model. The record is from RNAcentral.